RNAcentral lists this ribosomal RNA (440 nucleotides) under uncultured bacterium. Its description in RNAcentral is "partial 16S ribosomal RNA". It matches the Rfam family "Bacterial small subunit ribosomal RNA", at positions 338 to 795 of the family's 1533-position model. The record is from RNAcentral.
CCUACGGGGGGCAGCAGUGGGGGAUAUUGCACAAUGGGGGAAACCCUGAUGCAGCGACGCCGCGUGGGUGAAGAAGCGCCUCGGCGCGUAAAGCCCUGUCAGCAGGGAAGCAAAUGACGGUACCUGAAGAAGAAGCCACGGCUACCUACGUGCCAGCAGCCGCGGUAAUACGUAGGGGGCAAGCAUUAUCCGGGUUUACUGGGUGUAAAGGGGGCGCAGACGGCGAUGCAAGCCAGGAGGUAAGGCCCGGGGACCAACCCCGGGACUGCCGUUGGAACUGCGGGGCUAGAGUGCAGGAGGGGCAGGCGGAAUGCGUGGUGUAGCGGUGAAAUGCGUAGAUAUCAGGAGGAACACCGGUUGCGAAGGCGGCCUGCUGGACUGCAACUGACGUUGAGGCCCGAAAGCGUGGGGAGCAAACAGGAUUAGAUACCCCGGUAGUC